Molecule: ribosomal RNA, 510 nt
Filed under: uncultured bacterium
Lineage: Bacteria
Description: partial 16S ribosomal RNA
Rfam family: Bacterial small subunit ribosomal RNA
Source: RNAcentral
GACGAACGCUGGCGGCGUGCCUAAUACAUGCAAGUCGAGCGAAUGACGAGAAGCUUGCUUCUCUGAUUUAGCGGCGGACGGGUGAGUAACACGUGGGCAACCUGCCCUACAGAUCGGGAUAACUCAGGGAAACCUGGGCUAAUACCGGAUAAUCCUUCGAAUCACAUGUUUUGAAGUUAAAAGGCGCUUCGGCGUCACUGUAGGAUGGGCCCGCGGUGCAUUAGCUAGUUGGUGGGGUAACGGCCUACCAAGGCAACGAUGCGUAGCCGACCUGAGAGGGUGAGCGGCCACAUUGGGACUGAGACACGGCCCAAACUCCUACGGGAGGCAGCAGUAGGGAAUCUUCCACAAUGGACGAAAGUCUGAUGGAGCAACGCCGCGUGAGUGAUGAAGGUUUUCGGAUCGUAAAACUCUGUUGUAAGGGAAGAACAAGUACGUUAGGAAAUGAACGUACCUUGACGGUACCUUAUUAGAAAGCCACGGCUAACUACGUGCCAGCCGCCGCAGUAA